AUUGACCCCUGGCGGCAGGCCUAACACAUGCAAGUCGAGCGGAAGAAGGGAGCUUGCCCCUGGACUCCGCGGCGGACGGGAGAGUAAUGCCUAGGAAUCUGCCUGGUAGUGGUGGAUAACGUCCGGAAACGGCCGCUAAUACCGCAUACGUCCUGAGGGAGACAGGGGGGGAUCUUCGCAACUCACGCCAGCAGAUGAGCCUAGGUCGGAUUAGCUAGUUGGUGGGGUAAAGGCCUAACAACGCCACGAUCCGUAACUGGUCUGAGAGGAUGAUCAGUCACACUGUAGCGUAGACACGUGCCUGACUCCGACCGGGUGCAGCAGUGGGAGAUGUUGGACAAUGCCCGAAAGCCUGAUUCAGCCAUGCCGCCUGUGUGCGGAGGGGCUUCGGAUCGUAGAGCGAUUCUUGUCGGGAUAAAGAACAGUAAGUUGAAACCGUGCUGAAUUGACGGUGCCUACAGAAGAGGCACCGGCUGUCUGCGUG
This 484-nucleotide ribosomal RNA is filed under the name uncultured bacterium. Its description in RNAcentral is "partial 16S ribosomal RNA". It matches the Rfam family "Bacterial small subunit ribosomal RNA", at positions 30 to 507 of the family's 1533-position model. The record is from RNAcentral.